RNAcentral lists this ribosomal RNA (490 nucleotides) under uncultured bacterium. RNAcentral's name for it is "partial 16S ribosomal RNA". It matches the Rfam family "Bacterial small subunit ribosomal RNA", at positions 30 to 507 of the family's 1533-position model. The record is from RNAcentral.
UGAACGCUGGCGGUAGGCCUAACACAUGCAAGUCGAACGGCAGCACAGUAAGAGCUUGCUCUUACGGGUGGCGAGUGGCGGACGAGUGAGGAAUACAUCGGAAUCUACUUUUUCGUGGGGGAUAACGUAGGGAAACUUACGCUAAUACCGCAUACGACCUACGGGUGAAAGCAGGGGAUCUUCGGACCUUGCGCGAUUGAAUGAGCCGAUGUCGGAUUAGCUAGUUGGCGGGGUAAAGGCCCACCAAGGCGACGAUCCGUAGCUGGUCUGAGAGGAUGAUCAGCCACACUGGAACUGAGACACGGUCCAGACUCCUACGGGAGGCAGCAGUGGGGAAUAUUGGACAAUGGGCGCAAGCCUGAUCCAGCCAUACCGCGUGGGUGAAGAAGGCCUUCGGGUUGUAAAGCCCUUUUGUUGGGAAAGAAAAGCAGCAGGUUAAUACCCCGCUGUUCUGACGGUACCCAAAGAAUAAGCACCGGCUAACUUCGUG